This 426-nucleotide ribosomal RNA is filed under the name Triticum aestivum (bread wheat). Its description in RNAcentral is "partial small subunit ribosomal RNA". Lineage: Eukaryota; Viridiplantae; Streptophyta; Magnoliopsida; Poales; Poaceae. The record is from RNAcentral.
AUGCAACAUCAAAGAUUGAUUCUAAUUGAUUGGCAUUUUCAAGAAGCUGCUCGUUUGGACAACUGCAUGGUUUAUGAUGAGGAUGAUGACAACUUCGGUUUCAAGACCCUGAAGAAGUGUUACCUCUUGAAGUUUACCUUCGUAGGGCUGUGGAUUGGAUUGACGACGUGGAUACAACCUUCUGAGUCAGAUGCUGGAGGACGUGGUGGACUGUCGAUCUGCUCCACAGCCCGGCAGGUGGCAGUGCAGACGAGCGUCGCCGGCUCAAGAGGAUUUGAUGAUGUCCAGGGCAUGGAUGAGGCCAAGCAGGAGCUUCUUGAGGUGAAUAUGCAUAACUUUUUUGAGGUUUUGUGCACAUGCCGAAGGAAGAAGCUUGAACAUCCAUUUCCCGGUGCACUAAUAAUCAAUACUAGUUGCUCAUGCUAG